This 796-nucleotide long non-coding RNA is filed under the name Marmota monax (woodchuck). The record is from RNAcentral. Lineage: Eukaryota; Metazoa; Chordata; Mammalia; Rodentia; Sciuridae.
UGGGCCUUCAACUUGAGGGAGAAGGGAGCCCUGGUGUAGCUCUGAACAGACGGAGGGUGUGAUUUGCAUUAGGUGUGCACAGGAUCCCUCUGGCUGCAUGUUGGGCACAAAGUGUGGGGCAUGGACCCAGGGAGAGCAGCUGCAAGGCAGGACCCACAGGUGAUUCAAUCACUGAAGAGCCGGCGCACAGAGCCGUUCCUUAACACUCCCACGCCUUCAGCUUUUCCGGUAGCAGGCUCCGUGCUGAUCCCUGCACAGUCCUAGGAAAUCCUUAGGACAGCCCUGUUGGCUGCAAUCCCUGUGUUAUGGUUGAGGAAAACGAGGCUCAGGGCGGCGGCUUCUGGGCAGCAGGAUGAGCAUUUGUCACUAGCCCCUGACCUUAGGCCUGUGGAGGAGGCAGAGCCUGCCUACCGACCCUUGUCUUUGCAUUUGCACCUGCUCAGGUGAAGGGAGCCCACUGCGCAUGCGCCUGGACUAAUUAAAGCGCCCGGCGCGGGUCCCGCCCUUCCUGAAAGCGCCGGCUCGGCUUGGCGCGCUGCCUCGGCCCGAGGAUGCUGGUGAGGGGCAGGGACCGGGGACGGGGCCCAGCUGCCGCGUGGGCCUCUCUCCAGGGACUGACCCCAGCCCCUCUUCCCUUCAGAGUCCUAAUGCCUCCCUCGAUUCAGAGCUUCCGAGCGCCCCAGUCCUCGACGGGGACACCAGUGUCUCCCCGGGACGCCCCGAGAGGCUGUGCGCGCCGCCGGGGCUGGAGGAGGCCCUGAGCUCGCUGGGGCUGGAGGGGGAACGCGAGUACGCU